RNAcentral lists this ribosomal RNA (497 nucleotides) under uncultured bacterium. RNAcentral's name for it is "partial 16S ribosomal RNA". It matches the Rfam family "Bacterial small subunit ribosomal RNA", at positions 28 to 507 of the family's 1533-position model. The record is from RNAcentral.
GAUGAACGCUGGCGGCGUGCCUAAUACAUGCAAGUCGAGCGAACAGACGAGGAGCUUGCUCCUCUGACGUUAGCGGCGGAAGGGUGAGUAACACGUGGAUAACCUACCUAUAAGACUGGGAUAACUUCAGGAAACCGGAGCUAAUACCGGAUAAUAUAUUGAACCGCAUGGUUCAAUAGUGAAAGACGGUUUUGCUGUCACUUAUAGAUGGAUCCGCGCCGCAUUAGCUAGUUGGUAAGGUAACGGCUUACCAAGGCAACGAUGCGUAGCCGACCUGAGAGGGUGAUCGGCCACACUGGAACUGAGACACGGUCCAGACUCCUACGGGAGGCAGCAGUAGGGAAUCUUCCGCAAUGGGCGAAAGCCUGACGGAGCAACGCCGCGUGAGUGAUGAAGGUCUUCGGAUCGUAAAACUCUGUUAUUAGGGAAGAACAAAUGUGUAAGUAACUAUGCACGUCUUGACGGUACCUAAUCAGAAAGCCACGGCUAACUACGUG